CACUCGUAGAGGUGCUGCAUGGCUGUCGUCAGCUCGUGUCGUGAGAUGUUGGGUUAAGUCCCGCAACGAGCGNAACCCUUGUCUGCUGUUGCCAUCAGGUUAUGCUGGGCACUCUGCAGAGACUGCCGGUGAUAAACCGGAGGAAGGUGGGGAUGACGUCAAGUCAGCAUGGCCUUUAUGUCUGGGGCUACACACGUGCUACAAUGGCCGGUACAAACCGUCGCAAAACCGUAAGGUGGAGCUAAUCGGAGAAAGCCGGUCUCAGUUCGGAUAGCAGGCUGCAACUCGCCUGCUUGAAGUUGGAAUCGCUAGUAAUCGCGGAUCAGCACGCCGCGGUGAAUACGUUCCCGGGCCUUGUACACACCGCCCGUCACAUCACGAAAGCCGGUUGUACUAGAAGUCGCUCUAUCAACCCGCAAGGGGGAGAGGCGCCUAAGGUAUGGUCGGUGAUUGGGGUGAAGUCGUAACAAGGUAAGCGUAGACGU
This 485-nucleotide ribosomal RNA is filed under the name uncultured bacterium. Its description in RNAcentral is "bacterial SSU rRNA". It matches the Rfam family "Bacterial small subunit ribosomal RNA", at positions 1027 to 1509 of the family's 1533-position model. The record is from RNAcentral.